UGGACGUGGAAAGGUACAGCAGCUGGAAUUGCAAAUCUAUUUCCUUAGAAGAGCAUCGGUGGCAAGUUAAGCCUGUGGAUCUAGCUGGUGAUUGAAUGCAGACCAUAACAGAGGAACUUCAAUCCAAAGAUGUUCUCCAUGUUUGUAAAGAAGUUACACCUGUAAGAGGAUUUGUGCUACAGGUUGCAGGAAACUGGAAGGGGUAAGAAGCAAGCAUGAAGUCUACAACUACAAGACUAAUUUGUUCUAUAAGAGCUUUGGAUGUGUGUGGUUUUAGUGAAGCAAUUACUCAUUUAUAACAAUGUACUCUGCAUACAGUGAGGUGUGAUUCUAUUCCUAGAGCUCACCCAGCACCACAGUCUGGUAAACUAAUAAAGACUCUGUUAGUAUUG
RNAcentral lists this long non-coding RNA (392 nucleotides) under Salvator merianae (Argentine black and white tegu). Its description in RNAcentral is "lncRNA (ENSSMRG00000011120.1)". Lineage: Eukaryota; Metazoa; Chordata; Lepidosauria; Squamata; Teiidae. The record is from RNAcentral.